GGGGAUUAGCUCAGUGGUAGAGCGCUUGCCUAGGAAGCGUAAGGCCCUGGGUUCGGUCCCCAGCUCCG
Molecule: transfer RNA, 68 nt
Filed under: Rattus norvegicus (Norway rat)
Lineage: Eukaryota; Metazoa; Chordata; Mammalia; Rodentia; Muridae
Rfam family: tRNA
About the family: Transfer RNA (tRNA) molecules are approximately 80 nucleotides in length. Their secondary structure includes four short double-helical elements and three loops (D, anti-codon, and T loops).
Source: Rfam by way of RNAcentral